Anastrepha ludens (Mexican fruit fly) is the source of this 1683-nucleotide long non-coding RNA. RefSeq lists it as uncharacterized. The transcript is spliced from 3 exons. Lineage: Eukaryota; Metazoa; Arthropoda; Insecta; Diptera; Tephritidae. The record is from RefSeq and is a predicted model, not a curated record.
CUUGACUUCAAAAGUAUUCACACAAAUAUAUAAGAUGCAUCUACAUCUGAGUUCAAUACUUGAUUUGGUUCGGUGAGAACGUAGUCGUAUCUGGAUUGUUCAAUCUCCUACAUAAAAAUGCGCAAAUGUGUGCAUGUAUGUGUAGUAAUGUACGAGUAUGUGCAAUAUCUCAUAUCAGUGCAAGCUGCUCAAUUAGCCAGUACAAUGAUUUUUUUAAUAGCAAAAUGAAUAAAUUUAAAUAAAUAACAAGAGGGAAAACAAGAAAUGUUUAUAUGUAAUAAAAGUUAAAUUGUAGCUUGAAUUCAGAUUCUCGUGAGAAAAGUGUUUGAAAAACGGUAGGAGGACAAGUUUGUGACAGUGGCGAAUAUCAUGAGAGAGCCUUAACCUGAGUAUCGGUUAGCAAAAAGCUGGUGGGAUCGUGUGGGCUUGCGUUAUUAUUCAAUUAUAGAAGGUUAGUAAGCAGCUUUCUCGCUCCCUCUUGACAAAUCGGCUUCCUUAUUUGAUAACGUGUUGCUUCUUUAUAAAAAAACGUACAUGUUUCACGAAAAAAAACUUUUGAAUUGUAGUAAAAACUAAACUUUUGGUGCAAAUUAUAUGGUCGGCAACACUGUUUCCAUUUUGACACGUUGCUUUAUUCAUAUUCGUUGAAAACCGUUUAUUUAAUUCGAAACAUUCUAAUCGAUCAUGUCCUGAUUCUGGUUAUAGUCGGUCAUUUGAAGCUGUCUUUCUGCUACAGGCAGCACUCGUUUGUCACCAUGCAUAUGCCACAGUUAAUAAAUUAUGUUCUUCUUCUUCUUAAUUGGCGCUAUAACCGCUUACGCACAUCCUCUGGAUAGCUUCCGAACACCCGUUCGGGAGUGAGCUAACGUGAGAAGGCGAAACAUUCCAGGAUAGCUGGUUGUGCGCUGGGUUUGGGACCCGCCACUUAAAAAUCCCCCCCAAUGAAAAGAUUAAAAAAGCCUCGGAUUAGAGUUCAGAGGCGCGCAAGUGCAGCGGGAGGUGUGUUGAAGAGCUAAGUGGUACAACUGUAGUGAGUUUUAGAAACGAAGGCAAGAAUGCGUGUGCUUCUACCGUUGUCAUAUGUGGUCCUUCGGAGAACCGUAAUUGAAUUGUCUUCGCUAAACUUUUUUGCAACACGAGAAGUAUGUUGCGGUUCAUUAUCUUGUCGCAAUUUCCAAAUCACAUUUUGACGCAUCUGAACAGACUUGGCAUCUGAACAGACUUGGCCGCAUCUAUAGUAUCUUCAACACGAUGAAUUCGUCCGUCACUGUUCCACUAAAAGCAGUCCCACACCAUUUUGGAGCCUGGUGCCUCGUGCCUUAUGAUUGGUGGUACGCACUUGGGGUCGAAUGCUCACGUUUUGGCUGCCGCACGAACUUCCUAUCAUCUGCACCAAACCUAUUUAUAUUCGUUUAAUUGCUGAAUAAAAUAUAACGCCACUAUUUUGGCAAUCUCACGAUCAUACCAUCAAUCUGGCUAGUAAAGACAUAUUUGCAUCAAGUGAGGGGCUUCUAAUAAAUAUUGCCCUACAUUUUCUACACAGCAUAAAAGAAGAGCUUGAGUUUUUUAGCUGCAUGAGAACUAUUGAUAUCGAUUACCAUGGUUUGACAGCUGAGAAUGGCCAACUGUGUUGACAUUUCUGUUCAGUAAGGCUUGGCAAGUCAUCGUGAAUUUAACGCCAGA